RNAcentral lists this ribosomal RNA (482 nucleotides) under uncultured bacterium. RNAcentral's name for it is "bacterial SSU rRNA". It matches the Rfam family "Bacterial small subunit ribosomal RNA", at positions 29 to 507 of the family's 1533-position model. The record is from RNAcentral.
AUGAACGCUAGCGGCAGGCUUAAUACAUGCAAGUCGAGGGGCAGCACGAAUAGCAAUAUUUGGUGGCGACCGGCGCACGGGUGCGUAACACGUAUACAACCUACCUAUAACAGGGGGAUAGCCUUUCGAAAGAGAGAUUAAUACCCCGUAAUAAAUUGAGUGGCAUCACUUGAUUUCGAAAGCUACGGCGGUUAUAGAUGGGUAUGCGUCUGAUUAGCUAGUUGGUGAGGUAACGGCUCACCAAGGCGACGAUCAGUAGGGGAUCUGAGAGGACUAACCCCCACACUGGUACUGAGACACGGACCAGACUCCUACGGGAGGCAGCAGUAAGGAAUAUUGGUCAAUGGAGGCAACUCUGAACCAGCCAUGCCGCGUGCAGGAUGACGGCCCUAUGGGUUGUAAACUGCUUUUGUACCAGAGAAAACCUACUCACGUGUGAGUAGCUGAUAGUAUGGUAAGAAUAAGCAUCGGCUAACUUCGUG